UACGGGGGGAGCAAGCGUUGUUCGGAUUUACUGGGCGUAAAGGGCGCGUAGGCGGCCAGCACAAGUCGGUUGUGAAAUCUCCGGGCUUAACUCGGAAAGGUCAACCGAUACUGUGCGGCUAGAGUGCGGAAGGGGCAACUGGAAUUCUCGGUGUAGCGGUGAAAUGCGUAGAUAUCGAGAGGAACACCUGAGGUGAAGACGGGUUGCUGGGCUGACACUGACGCUGAGGCGCGAAAGCUAGGGUAGCAAACGGG
RNAcentral lists this ribosomal RNA (254 nucleotides) under uncultured bacterium. RNAcentral describes it as "partial 16S ribosomal RNA". It matches the Rfam family "Bacterial small subunit ribosomal RNA", at positions 524 to 776 of the family's 1533-position model. The record is from RNAcentral.